RNAcentral lists this non-coding RNA (45 nucleotides) under Schistosoma curassoni. The record is from RNAcentral. Lineage: Eukaryota; Metazoa; Platyhelminthes; Trematoda; Strigeidida; Schistosomatidae.
AUCCAGCUGACGAGCCACAAAUAGAACGAAACGCACGUCCUGGAU